This 75-nucleotide transfer RNA is filed under the name bacterium. RNAcentral's name for it is "tRNA-Ala". It matches the Rfam family "tRNA". Rfam says of the family: Transfer RNA (tRNA) molecules are approximately 80 nucleotides in length. Their secondary structure includes four short double-helical elements and three loops (D, anti-codon, and T loops). RNAcentral also lists the same sequence under 2 other names. The record is from RNAcentral.
GGGGUCUUAGUUUAGUCAGAAAAACUCUCGGUUUGCACCCGAAAGUGAAGGGUGCAAAGCCCUUAGACUCCACCA